UUUUUCAUUAACUGUUCCCACCUGGUGGAAUGCCUUGACCAACUCUAUUCGAGCAGAAUCCUUAGCCAUCUUCAAGAAACGGCUAAAAACACAUCUCUUCCAUCUUUAUUUAACCCUCUAACUCUAACACUAAGGCUGCAUCCGAAAUCGCAUACUUCCCUAAUAUAUAGUAUGCGAAAAACAGUAUGCGAGGCGAGUAGUAUGUCCGAAUUCAUAGUAUUCGAAAAACGGUAGGCAAGAAGUACCCGGAUGACCUACUGCUUCCGCCCGAAUUCUGUAGUAGGCAUACGAUGGACACUUUACUAUACCAUGAGGCCGCGGGAGAGGCAGCGUCAUAUUCGAAAAAUGGCGGAAAGCCGCGAUGCGGCUGUCUUCAAGUGUAAGGGAAAAACGUUGUUGAUGUUCAUUGUGGUUAACUUGUACUUGUUUAACAUCAUCCAAAUAAACGACUGACUUGUUGAGGGUUUAACAAACAGAUGAAACGAUUUUGUGAAUUGGGUGUAAACAGAUCUCUAAUCAUUACUGAUCAGAUGGAGUUACGUUAACCUCAUUGUAGUACAUCAGCUUGUUAACGCUGCUUUCUUUAAAUAGACGGUUCGUUAAGCGGUAAGAAUUUAAAUCAUUAACGAUAUUCGCGCAGUGAAGUGGGCUCUUUACAUUUUCGCGCUGUUGUGAAGACGCAUCCCACAUAGCAAGCACACUCGGGCCGAUUCUGGCUGAAAUGCGGCACUGUCGGCUCAGUCACGACGUCGGUGAGAAGAUAAUGGGCCAGAGCCGCGCCGACUCUACAAAACACUUCUGGUUGACAGACGGCUUUUUCUCUCUGGGCCGAUCUCGGCUGAAAGCUGUUGUACGCGCGGCAGGUCCACACUCGGUGUAGUUGUGUGUCUCUACCUUCGGCCCGAGCUGGUUUUGUCUCCGGCCGCUGCUAGAAUGAAGAUCCGCCUGAGAGAGAUUUGGCGGUUAAUCCUGAGGAGAUUUCGGCGGGCACAGGUCUCAAGAGGAAUACUUCAGCUGCAAAAAGGUAAAUUAAGUUAUUUAAUGAUCGAUCUAGUGUUGUUUGAUGUUUAAAUGCCAGGAGGAGUAUAGUUUUUAGAUGGUUUCUGUUAGGUUUGCGAUGAUAAUAGCGUCAGAAAAAUCAUUCGGUCCGGAUAUAUUGAGUAACGUUAGGCCUAACUGUCAGGCGCGGUCUCUUUAGGAAAACAAUAUGUAAUUUUUUUAAUAUGAAAAACCGAUGAGCUGUAUCCAGUGCACGAUAAUGUAAGGUAAUUCAAUUUUAAUGAGUUAAAUUCCAUUUUGUUUGCUAGAAUUCAUUCGAUUCAUCUUUUUCAACGAGUGAUUGCUAUUGAAUCAAAGGAGUCGGACCGCGCUGCUGGAGCCAUAAACAUCUAUACGAGUGACUCUGUCUGAUUCGAUUCACUGAACCAUUCAAAUGAGUCAUUUGUUUAAAUUCUGAGCUGCUGCAUGAACAUUCAUCAAACAUAUAAGGCUGCAAUUUGGAAAAAAACUUUCAAGCUAAUGCUGCUGAAAUGGAGGUCAAGGGGACUAUGAAGAGGUGGCUUCCAGCUGAUCAAAAGUUACAAUAAUCAGCUGAUCCAGUCGGUAUCCAGACCAGACGGUGGACCUGCACCAGGAGUGACCACAACACAUCCCUGACUGUCAGCGGAGACCAUGUCAGCUAGAUGACAGAUCCUGUGAAGACCUCACUGAUGGCCUCAGCACAGAUCCUCAGCAAAGACUACGAGAACCAGACAAGCCCUCUGCACAGACCCUUUUACCAGCUUCACCUGCUGGCGUGAUGUUUCCUCAUGCAGAAGAAGUUGGACGAAAUAUUCUGAAUGAUAUCAAUCCACAAUCUGACUUGUGAUGCAGCCUGGAAUAAUCACACCACGUUCAUUCGUUUGGCCAGACGAGACUGUUUCCUGACUGAGCCGGGUCUUGUUUGGGUUUGGGUUCCUUGUCACUGUUGCCUUUUGUCUUGCUUGGUUGAAGACACCUAAUAUUCAGCAAUAUUAUUGACUUGACUGCACUGACACCAUUUGAUAAGAACUGAACUGAAUUAUGACACACAAUGUUUUAUAUAUGAAGUUUAUUUGCAAAAACGGAUAACGGAUAAAAUUUUGUUUUUUGUUAUCAUGUUUUUGUUUUAUUGUGUUAGUUAGCUAGUAUUUAUUAGUUAUUCUUUACCUAAUCAAAAUAACCUGCAUGCAGUUUGAUUGAGAUUAAUUGGAAUGCACAAUGAAAAAACAUGAUUUUUUAAAAUUGUUAAAAACGAAGUUAUCUGUUUCUGCAAAUGAACUCUUCAUUUUUAUAUAUAUAUAUAUAUAUAUAUAUGCAGUAAAUAUAAUUUACUUGUUACUUUGUGGUUUAAAAAGUGUGAAUGUUUAUACUGUAGUGCAUUUGUUCAUGUAUAUUUAAAGUAUUUGGUAAUUUUAUAAUUAAAGCCUUUUUAAUGUUUUUAAAUGGUUGUAUUUGUGUUUUACUGCUGAAUUACAUUUAGCAGUUUCUGGGCCACAUUCGGCCCGGGG
Molecule: long non-coding RNA, 2528 nt
Organism: Onychostoma macrolepis
Lineage: Eukaryota; Metazoa; Chordata; Actinopteri; Cypriniformes; Cyprinidae
Exons: 4
Source: RefSeq, a predicted model, not a curated record